This 393-nucleotide long non-coding RNA is filed under the name Phaseolus vulgaris (common bean). RNAcentral describes it as "long non-coding RNA (PVUL_LNC003468)". Lineage: Eukaryota; Viridiplantae; Streptophyta; Magnoliopsida; Fabales; Fabaceae. The record is from RNAcentral.
AACAACAUAAGAAGACUGAGUUUCUGCUGACUAGUCAACAUUAUUUGUGGGCCAAGCUUUAGCUUAAAUAAAUUGUAUAAAGUUGUUUAGGAUUUCAGGGGCCAUGUAUUGGGCAUAAUAGCAUAAAAUAAUUGGACCAAAUAUUUGGGCCAAGUUGCAUAGGUUUUCGGGCUUGUAUUUGGGCCAAUAGUAAAAUAUGACUAAUUAGGGUUAAAAGUGAUUAGUUAGGGUAACAAUUGGGCUUCUUUGAGCCUAAUGUAACCCUAAAACGUCUAGGGCAUAUUGAAGAACGAAAAUACCUUGGCAUGGAGCACAUGGACGUCUACAUGGCAACAUAGGAGUGGAGAGGAUUUAGCAUGGAAGGUGUGAGCUAACAUGGAAAGCAUGACUCCA